CUACACUAGAUCGCUCGUCGGCAGCGUCAGAUGUGUAUAAGAGACAGGUCUUGGGAAGAGUAGCAGCACAGUGUGGUGAGAAUCCGCACCGCCUUAUAAACCAGGGUUCCUCGGCACUGUUUAUCAGCCGAGGGUUAGCCGGUCCUAAGGUCAUUCUUAACCGAAAUGAUCGAAAGGGAAAUGCGUUAAUAUUCGUAUGCCUCCUAUACAUAAAAUGGUGACGGCUUGGGCAAAACUUGUGGAUCAUAUGUCAGGUCCACUUGCACUAAAUUUCUGGAGAACUGUCACAGUGAGAAGGAAAUAAAGUCCCAGGUCCCAUGAAAAGCCGUAUAGGAUGACCGUACCGAGAACUGAAACAGGUGUUUUAGGGUGAGUAGCCUAAGGCGUAUCGGAUACAAGUAUCGCGAGGGAACUCGGCAAAAUGGCUCCGUAACUUCGGGAGAAGGAGUGCCAGAUCAGAGAUGAUCUGGUCGCAGUGACUAGGGAGCUCCGACUGUUUAAUAAAAACAUAGGGGACUGCCAGAUCGAAAGGUUGUGUAUAGUCCCUGAAUCCUGCUCAGUGCUGGUAUCUUAAAUCGGGUUUCAACCUGACGAAGGACCAGUAAACAGCGGGGGUAACUAUGACCCUCUUAAGGUAGCGUAAUACCUUGUCGCUUAAUUGGCGACUUGCAUGAAUGGUCCAACGAGGGCUCCACUGUCCCCGCGAUACGUCCGGCGAAAUUGACUUUACUGGCGCACAGUCCAGUACAUUCUACCCGCAAGCGAAGACCCCGUAGAGCUUUACUGCAGCCUGUCGUUGCAUAGUCGCUUUCCAUGUACUGUGUAGGUGGGAGACGUUGAUCUCUGGGACGUCAGUCCUGGAAGUAGUCGAAAAUAGAGACACCACCCUUGGAGAGUAACUAUGCUAACUGUUUAUCAGGACACCGAUUGGUGGGCAGUUUGGGUGGGGCGCCACGCGCUCGAAAACCUAACAAGCGUGCCCAAUGGUCAGCUUAAGUGGUUCAGCACUCCACUGUUAACUGUAAGGGGAAAAGCUGGCUUGACGUGGAUCCGCACAAUAAGGAUCGACGAUGCGAAAGCAGGGCCUAACGAACCUACCAACCUUAUUUCUGAGGGUGGUAGAUAACAGAAAAGUUACCUUGGGGAUAAUUGAGUUGUCACCAGCAAGAGCUCACAUCGACCUGGUGGCUUGCUACUUCGAUGUCGUCUCUUCCUAUCCUGGGCCUGCAGCAGGGCCCAAGGGUGGGGUUGUUCGCCCAUUAAAAGGGAUCGUGAGAUGGGUUUAGACCGUCGUGAGACAGGUUUGUUGCUUGGUGGUAGAAUCGCAUAAGGUGUUUGAUGGAAGGGGUCCUUUAGUACGAGAGGAACGAGGGCUCGGGGCCACUAGUUUACCAGUUGUCUGACAAGGCAAUGCUGGGUAGCCACGCCCUGAUGGAUAAGAGCUGAAAGCAUCUAAGCUCGAAGCCGCCCCAGAGACGAGACACCUCAGAACGCUCGUAAAAGACGAGUUUGAUAGACUGCGGAUGUAAGUACGAAGCUUCGGCGACGUAUUCAGUCCAGCAGCACUAACUGUUCGAGCAUCUUUUUC
RNAcentral lists this ribosomal RNA (1588 nucleotides) under seawater metagenome. RNAcentral's name for it is "bacterial LSU rRNA". It matches the Rfam family "Archaeal large subunit ribosomal RNA", at positions 1331 to 2987 of the family's 2987-position model. The record is from RNAcentral.